AUGGUUUUUAGGGUCAAAACGGCUGUGUUGGAUGACCAAUGUAUAUCUCUAUUUGAGGAAUUCUCCAAAGAUCCAGAGCCGAUUGUUUCAUAGAGCUGUGAAGUUGCGUUAAACAUACUGGAUUUUGAACGAUCCGACAAACCAUUCGAGGUACUUGGAAGAUUAAGUCUCUUAUCUGGGUGGUUGUUACAGGUUUAGGAUGUUAAAUGAUUUUGGAUGUACUCUGCGAUGUCGAUGAUGCAGAGAUGUUGGAGAAGCUCAGGUUAACAACUUCAUGUGUAUAUUUUAAUGAAUAAAGUUUUUGUUGUUUAUAUUUUCUAAUUUAAACUUUUAAUUAACUUCUAAAUUUAAUUAAACUAGAAUUAAGACCCGCCGCAAUGCGGCGGGGCUUCUUUAGUGAUAACUAAGUCGAUUUUGUGCGCGCACGUUAUGUUGAACCUAUCAAACAGGAAAAAAUAGACGAUGUAAAAACGUUCACCCGCAAAAUUUAGAACGAAACGUAAAACAUUAAACCAAAGACGCACGUUGUAGUGUGUUAAGUCACAAAAUUUAGAACGAAUGAUAAAGCUAAAAAUUUGCGGAAAAUGAAAAAUAUAAAGGACCAAAGUUGAAAGUAAAAAAAGUUGUGAGGAUAAAUUGCAACAGAUUAAAAGUUUUGUGUUAAAAGUAAAAAAAAAACAAAUAGUUUUGGGUUAAAAGUAAUUUAUAAAAUACUUUUGGGUGAAAAGUAAAACAUCAAUUUUUUUUGAAAAACCUCCAAAGCCAAGGUUACAACAACCAUAUGCAUAACCAUUUUUUCUUUGAAAAACCCCCAAAGCCAAUAUUACAACACAUAAGUAAAAAAAAUCAAAGUGGUUAAAUCGCAAAAGAUGGAAACUUUUGAAUUAGGAGUGAAAAAAUCAAAUUAAUCAAAGGGGUUAAAUUACCAAAGAUUAAAACUUUAAACUUAAAUUGUCAAAGAUUAAAACUUUAGGGUUAAAAAGGAAACAAAGAUUAAAAUUUUAAACUUAAAUUGCCAAAUAUUAAAACUUUAGGGUAAAUUAUCAAAGAUUAAAACCUUAGGGUUUAAAAGGAAACAAAAAUUAAAACUUUAAACUUAAAUUGUCAAAAAAUUAAAAGUUUAGGGUUAGAAAGGAAAAUUUCCAUUUUUUUUUUAAAGCAACCCAAAGCUAAAGUUACAACAUAUAUAUGCACAUAUAAGUUGCUUCUUUAUAAGGUUUUAAUGAGUUUGUUUUGCAGGUUCGAACAACUUCAUGUGUAUAUUUUAUUAUAAAAAAUAAAAGUUUUUUUUUGUUUCAUGGGUCGUUCAGAGAGGCAAGUUUCUGCGUCCGGUUCUUGCCCGAAGUUUCUGACCUUACUCGCAACCCAUUGACUACAACUUUCAAUUCAAAACAAUUAUAAAAAAAUUACGUUUGAAAACAUGUAUUUUUAUUUUAUUUAAUGACAUAACUCGAUUAAUAUAAAGUAAAUUUUUCUACCCGCGAAGUUCGCGGGUGAUAACCUAGUUAAGAGUACAUUUAAAAUCAAAGCAAACAAAUCCUAUUUAUAAGACCACAUAAACGUGUUCUUAAAACAAAAAAAUAUGGGGGUUCACAAAAGGGGUUAACUUGCAAAAGUUGAAAAAGUUUGGGUAAAGGUAAAAAAUCAAAAUCAAAGAGGUUAAAAUAC
RNAcentral lists this long non-coding RNA (1668 nucleotides) under Helianthus annuus (common sunflower). Its description in RNAcentral is "hypothetical non coding rna". Lineage: Eukaryota; Viridiplantae; Streptophyta; Magnoliopsida; Asterales; Asteraceae. The record is from RNAcentral.